This is a long non-coding RNA of Macaca fascicularis (crab-eating macaque), 2968 nucleotides long. The record is from Ensembl. NCBI's taxonomy places the organism in Eukaryota, Metazoa, Chordata, Mammalia, Primates, Cercopithecidae.
UAUAGAGAGAGGUUUGAAUCUACCACUAUGGUCAUGGACUUGUCUACUGUUCCUUUUGGUUAUGCCAGGUUUUGCUUAGGAUGCAUGUUAUUUCAUGCCACAAGUUUAGAACAUUGCAUUUCUGUUUGGUUGUCACCUUCUGUCAUUCUAGAAUGUCCCUUAUCUGUAUUACUGCUUCUUGUCUGACGUUAGCAUUGCCACAAUAGGUUUUUCUUGUCAUUUUAGUUUCAAGUCUCUGUAGCCUUAUGUUACAUAUGUGUCUUAUAUGUUAUUCUUGCAUUAAUUCUUUGGAUAAUUUCAUUCCCUAGACAUUUGCUGAUGACCUUCAUGCCAGAUGCCCACUUGAGAGCCUGGAGAGAGUGGCAUGUAGCACUUUCUGCCUGCUGAGUGGCCUGCACACACCCCUGGGAUCUCUGGCUCCAGAGCCUGUGUUUAUCCUGCUAUGGCAAACCACACUGCCUUCUCUAAGGCAGCAUCUCCUGGUGGGAAGAGUAUCAUCUGCUUUGAAGUUCUGCCCCGUCUGAAGAUAUUGGAAAGGAGGAGAAGAAAGAGGAAAGCAGAGAAGAUCGCCUCGCAGAGGCCAGGCUGCAGCCUGGGCUCCGUGCACCUCUGCCUGCUGACGGGAUCCACCUCAGGUCAAGAAGGUGCUGGCUCACCCUUCCCUCAAGAUUUUAGAGAUCCCAGUGCAUGUCCUGGAAAUCCUUUAAAAUUCAAAGAAAACAAGCAAAGCUCUGGCUAAUUAAAUGUUUUCUGCUUACCGUCGUUAACAUAUUAAUGCGACAGGCUAAAUGUAUUACUCAGUGGUGCAGAAGCUCUUAGGUCUGUGCACCCCUUUUUGAGAGGAUUUCUCCAUGUGGCAUCCGUGUUUACAGUGCACUGGCUUUCUGUUCAUAGGGCUUUUACGUGGGGGCGAUGGCAUGGCAGAAAGCAUCCCCAGGGUGAGAAGGGGAUGGGGAGGUCCACAUUGCAGUUCAGACCCCCUGGACAUCUGCCUUUGAGAUAGCCACGUCCCUGAGCCUUUCCUUUCAAAGGAUGGUGGGUCAGUUUCUAAUGUUCCCAUUUUGACCUCUCAGACUCAGGGACUGAGGCUAGAGCACAGGUCCUCUCGUUGAGGUCACUGUAGCGCUUCAGCGGCAUCAGCACUCUUGCUUUCUUUUGCACAUCCUUGGUUUUCAGUUAUUAUGGGUACACAGCGAGCCACCCCAAAAUUAGUACAACAAUAGCCAUUUUGCUGUGUUCAUGGAUUCUGUGGGUAAGGAAUUGGGAAGGAGCCCAGGGUGUGGUGCGUCAGUUGGGAAGAUUUGAGUUGAUAGUAGGUUUGCUCACUCCUGUGUCUGUGGUGCACGUGGCCUCUGUGUGGCUGGGCUUCCUUGCAGCAUGGCAUCCUGAGCCGCCUUCCACGGGGCCUUGCUCAGGGCUCCCAGCACAAGUGUUCCAGCCAACAGGGUGGAUUCCACAGCGCCUUUUCUGGCCCAGUCUCUGCCACAUUGAAUCAUCUGUACCUGGCGAGGUCCUGACUUCCUUUCUGCCAGAUCCUUCUCUGGUCCUCAAGGUCCCUUACUGUUUUUGCCCCUGGUUACAACCUCCUGUGUACCUGUCCUGGAGUGUUGUGGUUAGGAGUGUGGUCUCGGGCGCAGACUGAAAUACACUGCUGUGUGCAGUAGGAACCUUGGCUGCUGCCCUGUGUUCAUGGCAAGCACUUCAGAGCUGAGCCUGGUGUGAGGCGAGUCCUCCAUCAACGGCCUUGACUUUUCUUUCCCAGACUAAAGUGCAGGUUCCUUCAGGGAAGCUCUCUCUUGGUCAUCUCUGCCUGGCAUUUCCUGCAGGACUUGGCAAGUACUGCGUUCCCUCUGCUUGGGCGGUCUGCGCUGGGUCUGUCUCCUGUUCUGUAAGUCUCACAAAUUCACCCUCUCAGAGCAGCCGUCUCUGCCUGUCCCCUGCUAGGAGCUGUGGUGACCUCUACUCAUCUUGUUUCCUUUUGUUCAUGACACUAGCUCUAAUGAAAAUGUUUCAUCCCCUCUUUGUUUCUGUUAGACCAGGAUAUGAACCCCACCAGAGCCAGAUCUGGGCCUGUCUCCUUCCCUGCUAUUCAGUGCCUACAAGAGGGUCUGGGUCAAAAAUGAAUGGAGAGAAGGAAGGGAGGGGUAAAAAGAUCGACUUCAGGAAGAUUUCAGAAACACGGUGCUGAGAAUAGUAGGGUCAUGUACCAGGGUGGGAUUUACUUCCUUUUUAUACACUUAAAAAAUCUCAAAGAUAUCCAUUCAGCUUUCAGUUUAGGUGAAAUCUAUUCGUAAUAAAAAUAAAAUGAUAUCUCAACGACAACUUAAUUUUGAGUAAAAAUAUUUUCUGGAGGGCAGGGGGCUCUAAAUACAAAGAAGCAAAGAAGCGCAUCACCUCUCCCCAGUGGGGCUCAUGGCCCUCGAUGGAGCCACCUGGAGCCCAGGCACUUUGCAAUUUAUUCCUGGGUCGCCUCCACCUCCGUCCCUCAGUUAUGGGGCUGUGAUGGUCCACAGCAAGCCCCCAUUCUUGCUGCUCCACUGGUGUGAUUUUCUUGGGACCGAAAUGGGGAGAGGACAGGAUUGUGUGUUUUGCGAAAGCACAGCGUUGGACGUUCAUUGGUGUUCCUCUGUGCUUCCAUGACUUGAGGGCAACCAUCUAGCAGUUUACAGGGGUUCUGAAUAAAUUCCAGGGACCUGGAAAUUAUUGGAUUUAUUUUAUUUUAAGCAGAAACAUUUUAUGUUUAGUGUGGUAACGGCAUGCUCCACUUAGUGUGGUCAUGCCUAGCUCUCUUGUUUUGUGUCCACUUUGGAGUCUGGCUCUGGGCAAGCACUCAAAUGCUCAUAGGAAUCCCACGGCUCAGGGCAUCCUCUGAACCCAAGGGCCUCUAAAGGGGGAACAGCAACGUGGGAAUGUGGGUGGGGACAGCGAGUGAGGAGCCGGUGCAGGGUGACGGCAGGUGUAGGUUCUG